Molecule: long non-coding RNA, 2042 nt
Filed under: Olea europaea subsp. europaea
Lineage: Eukaryota; Viridiplantae; Streptophyta; Magnoliopsida; Lamiales; Oleaceae
Source: RNAcentral
GAGAAUAAAGAAAAAUUAGCAAGGAAGAUUCGAGAGAAGGAGAAGAAAAGAAAAAGAAGAAGAAGAAGUGGGUUUUCACGCUUGGGUUCUCCAUUUCUUCAAUUUCUCCACUGAUUUAGAGAUGUAUGUGUAAGUAUGUUGAAUUAUUUUUUUGGGUUUAAGUAUAUAUAUAUUGGAAGAUUAGUGUUGAAAGGAAGGAAGGUUGAAAUGGGUUUGUAAAUUACAGUUUCAAUCUUUAAUUUAUUGCGUUUAUAUAAUAUAAAACACUUGAUUUAUGAGGUAUUACAGUGGCACAAGGAUUUUAGGUUUGAUUUUGGUAUUUCUUAACUCAUUUUCUUCAAUUUUCGUACAAUUAUAACCCUAUUGCUACUUUAAAAAUUUUGGCCAGAAUGUGCCAUUUUUGUCGAAGGUUUUGGAGACAGUCUUCCAUAUAUGGAAAUUGGUGCCAAAUUUCAAUACUCUGGAAUCUUAGUGCUAUUUUUAUCAAACUUUUGAUUUUCUCAGAUUUUACAAGCUUCAAUGAAACUGGAUGAUAUAUAUUGAAGUUCAGGUAUUGAAUUAAAUCAUGUAUAGGGGUUGUAUAUGUAUAAAGUAGUGAUUUUAAGAAAAUAUAGUGAUUUAAUGAAUUUGAUCAUUUAUGGUGAUCUGUUAUUAAACAAUAAAAGAGAGGAAAAGUUUGAGAAAUAGAUACCCGAAAAUAAAUAUAGAAGUUGAGGAAUUAUGUGGUGGAUUUACAUUAGUUUACUUGUCCGGUUUUAAUUUAGGUUAUUAUACUAUUAUUUGAGGCAGUAACGUCAAAGUUUGGAAAUGCUCAUCAAUAUAACCAGAUUGCUAUCCCUAGAUCCGUGAGUGAAAAAAUUUAAAUAUUUUCAAUUACUAAUAAAUUGAUUAUACUAUUACGUUAUGUGGGAUUAUGUGAAUUAUUUCUGCUACAUGAUUAUUAAUAAAUGUUCUCUCAGUAUGAUAUAUGUGGAAUUACAAAAAGUAUAUGUGGGUUACUUGUGAAUUAGAAUAUGAGACAUGUUUUAUUGACCGCUACUAGGGCACCGUGGCAUGCGAGGCAUGCAAUUGUGUUGGCCACAAGUGAGACUUCUCAAGUGAUCGCAAGGGUGGUUAUGGGAUGUGAUCAUGGGAGGAUUGACCACUUGCUUGUGCCAUUGUGAUAUGGUGAUUUUUAGUAUCUCGGGUGGUAUACUUCCUGGCUAAUCAUGGGGGCUAUCAGGUGAUGUACCUCUAAUGAUCACAAGAUAAUGGUCCACUUAACUGUGAUAUUGUAAUUAUUGUCAUCUUGAGUGUGAUACUUCUUGUGUGAUCAUGGGACUGUUAGGGGAUGUACUUCUGAUGAUCACAGGAGGAUGGGCCACUCGACUCUACUCAGUUGAUUAUUGAUUAUUGAUGUUGAUAUUAUAUUAUUUUCGAACUUAUCCAUUCAAUGAGCUAUCAACUCAUAUAUUUUCUUCUAAUUUUUCCUACAGGUAGCAAUUGGUUUUUGAUAGCGUGAGGAGCUUGAUAAUUUUAGAGUUAGAGCUACACGACAUAUUGAAUGAUAUGAGUCAUUUGGAUUCAACAUGAGAUAAUUAUUUUGGACACAUCACAUUAUAUUUUUCACAAGCAUUUGAUUUUGGCACAUGUUUUAUAGUAACUCAUAUUCAGCAUUGGUGAUGGAUCUGACAUCUAAUCAGCAUCAAUUAUCGACGAACGUUACAUUUUGGUCCACUAGGAUGAUUAGGGACAAGUCAUGUCAUGUAGCCCAUGUAGGAAUCUUUGUUAAAGGGACGUACAUUUCGUUGGAUAUCCUCGCCAUUAUUAGUUCCUGCUAGCCCUCAUCAAAUGCAUCCAUUUUGACAAUUCUUGCUCUCUGUGGAUUAUGUAUAUGUGAGUGAGUAUGUAUCUGUGUAUUUGAUUUUGACAACAUCAAAUGUAGAGAAGAAAGUGGUGGGUAAUAGGUGGUAUCAUAUGUGUUUCGAUUUGAUUUGUUUUUGUUCAAAGAAAGUGGGAGGUCCAGAAUAUAGAUUGAGCACAGACGGACGUUAACUAUUGAC